This is a small nuclear RNA of Mesocricetus auratus (golden hamster), 107 nucleotides long. The record is from Ensembl. Lineage: Eukaryota; Metazoa; Chordata; Mammalia; Rodentia; Cricetidae.
GUGCUAACUUCCACAGCACAUAUAUUAGUAUUGAAACAAUACAUAGAAGAUUAGCAUGGCCCUUGUGUAAGGAUGAUAGGCAAAUUUGGGAAGCAUUCCAUAUUUUU